GAUCAGGAAAAGAAGGAAGCUAUCUCGGCUCUUAGAGUGCUUGAUGUGCUCAAUACGCACAUUAAUUCUCUUGGCAAGAAUCUUGCCCUUAACUUGUUUGUUU
Sapajus apella (tufted capuchin) is the source of this 103-nucleotide long non-coding RNA. RefSeq lists it as uncharacterized. The transcript is spliced from 3 exons. NCBI's taxonomy places the organism in Eukaryota, Metazoa, Chordata, Mammalia, Primates, Cebidae. The record is from RefSeq and is a predicted model, not a curated record.